AAUCUGCUGCGGACAAAUGAAGUGAAUGUGCGCGUCUAUGCCGCCGGGAGUCACGAUCUGACCUUCACCCGCAAUCACUUCGGUGCCCGGCCCCACUUCAAUGGAGACCCCCUCUUGAGUGUCUGGGUUGCCGGCUUUGCCAAUUGCUUGAAUGCGUCCGCCUUUGAUGGCGAUGUCAGCCUUGACCACGCCCCAGUAAUCAAGAAUCAACGCAUUAGUGAUCACCGUGUCGGCAAUCUCUGCGCUCAUCGCUUGGCUCUGUCCCAUGCCAUCGCG
RNAcentral lists this small RNA (276 nucleotides) under uncultured Pseudomaricurvus sp. Its description in RNAcentral is "5' ureB small RNA". It matches the Rfam family "5' ureB small RNA". Lineage: Bacteria; Pseudomonadati; Pseudomonadota; Gammaproteobacteria; Cellvibrionales; Cellvibrionaceae. The record is from RNAcentral.